RNAcentral lists this ribosomal RNA (482 nucleotides) under uncultured bacterium. RNAcentral describes it as "bacterial SSU rRNA". It matches the Rfam family "Bacterial small subunit ribosomal RNA", at positions 31 to 507 of the family's 1533-position model. The record is from RNAcentral.
GAACGCGUGCGGCAUGCCUUACACAUAGCAAGUACGAACGGCAGCACGGGAGCAAUCCUGGUGGCGGAGUGGCGAACGGUGAGUAAUAUAUCGGAACGUGCCCAGUCGUGGGGGAUAACGUAGCGAAAGCUACGCUAAUACCGCACACGAUCUAUGGAUGAAANCGGGGGAUCGCAAGACCUCGCGCGAUUGGAGCGGCCGAUAUCAGAUUAGGUAGUUGGUGAGGUAAAGGCUCACCAAGCCGACGAUCUGUAGCUGGUCUGAGAGGACGACCAGCCACACUGGGACUGAGACACGGCCCAGACUCCUACGGGAGGCAGCAGUGGGGAAUUUUGGACAAUGGGCGCAAGCCUGAUCCAGCAAUGCCGCGUGCAGGAUGAAGGCCUUCGGGUUGUAAACUGCUUUGUACGGAACGAAACGGUGAGCUCUAAUACAGUUUGCUAAUGACGGUACCGUAAGAAUAAGCACCGGCUAACUACGUG